AACGAACGCUGGCGGCAGGCCUAACACAUGCAAGUCGAACGGGAUCUUCGGAUCUAGUGGCGGACGGGUUAGUAACGCGUGGGAACGUACCCUUUUCUACGGAAUAGCCUCGGGAAACUGAGAGUAAUACCGUAUACGCCCUUCGGGGGAAAGAUUUAUCGGAGAAGGAUCGGCCCGCGUAAGAUUAGAUAGUUGGUGGGGUAAUGGCCUACCAAGUCUACGAUCUUUAGCUGGUUUGAGAGGAUGAUCAGCAACACUGGGACUGAGACACGGCCCAG
This 278-nucleotide ribosomal RNA is filed under the name uncultured bacterium. RNAcentral describes it as "partial 16S ribosomal RNA". It matches the Rfam family "Bacterial small subunit ribosomal RNA", at positions 29 to 334 of the family's 1533-position model. The record is from RNAcentral.